RNAcentral lists this non-coding RNA (28 nucleotides) under Mus musculus (house mouse). The record is from RNAcentral. Lineage: Eukaryota; Metazoa; Chordata; Mammalia; Rodentia; Muridae.
CAGGAAAUGUUACAGUCUCUUUAACGAC